RNAcentral lists this ribosomal RNA (532 nucleotides) under Alternaria sp. ZDH1-1-1-1. RNAcentral's name for it is "eukaryotic LSU rRNA". The stretch from base 156 to 309 matches the Rfam family "5.8S ribosomal RNA". The record is from RNAcentral. Lineage: Eukaryota; Fungi; Ascomycota; Dothideomycetes; Pleosporales; Pleosporaceae.
AAGGCGGGCUGGAACCUCUCGGGGUUACAGCCUUGCUGAAUUAUUCACCCUUGUCUUUUGCGUACUUCUUGUUUCCUUGGUGGGUUCGCCCACCACUAGGACAAACAUAAACCUUUUGUAAUUGCAAUCAGCGUCAGUAACAAAUUAAUAAUUACAACUUUCAACAACGGAUCUCUUGGUUCUGGCAUCGAUGAAGAACGCAGCGAAAUGCGAUAAGUAGUGUGAAUUGCAGAAUUCAGUGAAUCAUCGAAUCUUUGAACGCACAUUGCGCCCUUUGGUAUUCCAAAGGGCAUGCCUGUUCGAGCGUCAUUUGUACCCUCAAGCUUUGCUUGGUGUUGGGCGUCUUGUCUCUAGCUUUGCUGGAGACUCGCCUUAAAGUAAUUGGCAGCCGGCCUACUGGUUUCGGAGCGCAGCACAAGUCGCACUCUCUAUCAGCAAAGGUCUAGCAUCCAUUAAGCCUUUUUUUUCAACUUUUGACCUCGGAUCAGGUAGGGAUACCCGCUGAACUUAAGCAUAUCAAUAGCCGGAGGAA